GACGAACGCUGGCGGCGUGCUUAACACAUGCAAGUCGAACGGAAAGGCCCUGCUUUUGUGGGGUGCUCGAGUGGCGAACGGGUGAGUAACACGUGAGUAACCUGCCCUUGACUUUGGGAUAACUUCAGGAAACUGGGGCUAAUACCGGAUAGGAGCUCCUGCUGCAUGGUGGGGGUUGGAAAGUUUCGGCAGUUGGGGAUGGACUCGCGGCUUAUCAGCUUGUUGGUGGGGUAGUGGCUUACCAAGGCUUUGACGGGUAGCCGGCCUGAGAGGGUGACCGGCCACAUUGGGACUGAGAUACGGCCCAGACUCCUACGGGAGGCAGCAGUGGGGAAUAUUGCACAAUGGGCGGAAGCCUGAUGCAGCAACGCCGCGUGCGGGAUGACAGCCUUCGGGUUGUAAACCGCUUUCGCCUGUGACGAAGCGUGAGUGGCGGUAAUGGGUAAAGAAGCACCGGCUAACUACGUG
RNAcentral lists this ribosomal RNA (468 nucleotides) under uncultured bacterium. Its description in RNAcentral is "partial 16S ribosomal RNA". It matches the Rfam family "Bacterial small subunit ribosomal RNA", at positions 28 to 507 of the family's 1533-position model. The record is from RNAcentral.